ACUGGCUCGCUGACUCCUCCUUCUUGUAGAACCGUAAUGCCAUUAAUUUGGUGUUGCGGGGAAACAGGACUGUUACUUUGAAAAAAUUAGAGUGUUUAAGGCAGGCCAACGCCUGAAUACAUUAGCAUGGAAUAAUGAAAUAGGACGUUCGAACCUAUUUUGUUGGUUUCUAGGAUUGACGUAAUGAUUAAUAGGGAUAGUUGGGGGCAUUAGUAUUCAAUUGUCAGAGGUGAAAUUCUUGGAUUUAUUGAAGACUGACUACUGCGAAAGCAUUUGCCAAGGAUGUUUUCAUUAAUCAAGAACGAAAGUUAGGGGAUCGAAGACGAUCAGAUACCGUCGUAGUCUUAACCAUAAACUAUGCCGACUAGGGAUCG
This 374-nucleotide ribosomal RNA is filed under the name uncultured Glomeromycotina. RNAcentral describes it as "SSU rRNA". It matches the Rfam family "Eukaryotic small subunit ribosomal RNA", at positions 680 to 1055 of the family's 1831-position model. The record is from RNAcentral. Lineage: Eukaryota; Fungi; Glomeromycota.